UAAAAGAGCAAAGUAAACGAAAGUUUAUGACGCAAAGCCUUAGGUCUAAAAGCAUAUAUGCUUAUGAUUGCUAGGUUGC
RNAcentral lists this non-coding RNA (79 nucleotides) under human gut metagenome. Its description in RNAcentral is "Cyclic di-GMP-I riboswitch". It matches the Rfam family "c-di-GMP-I riboswitch aptamer", at positions 6 to 83 of the family's 87-position model. From Rfam's summary of the family: GEMM was predicted in a large-scale screen for bacterial structured RNA regulatory elements. Genes associated with GEMM are involved in a diverse array of functions, including chemotaxis regulation, signal transduction, secretion and chitin. The record is from RNAcentral.